GACAGAAGGUGCAAGCGUUACUCGGAAUUACUGGGCGUAAAGCGUGCGCAGGCGGUGAUGUAAGACAGUUGUGAAAUCCCCGGGCUCAACCUGGGAACUGCAUCUGUGACUGCAUCGCUGGAGUGCGGCAGAGGGGGAUGGAAUUCCGCGUGUAGCAGUGAAAUGCGUAGAUAUGCGGAGGAACACCGAUGGCGAAGGCAAUCCCCUGGGCCUGCACUGACGCUCAUGCACGAAAGCGUGGGGAGCAAACAGG
This 253-nucleotide ribosomal RNA is filed under the name uncultured bacterium. Its description in RNAcentral is "partial 16S ribosomal RNA". It matches the Rfam family "Bacterial small subunit ribosomal RNA", at positions 524 to 776 of the family's 1533-position model. The record is from RNAcentral.